CCUACGGGAGGCUGCAGUGGGGAAUAUUGGACAAUGGGCGAAAGCCUGAUCCAGCCAUGCCGCGUGUGUGAAGAAGGCCUUCGGGUUGUAAAGCACUUUCAGUGGGGAAGAAAGCCUUGGGGCUAAUACCCUCGAGGAAGGACAUCACCCACAGAAGAAGCACCGGCUAACUCCGUGCCAGCAGCCGCGGUAAUACGGAGGGUGCGAGCGUUAAUCGGAAUUACUGGGCGUAAAGCGCGCGUAGGCGGUCUGAUAAGCCGGUUGUGAAAGCCCCGGGCUCAACCUGGGAACGGCAUCCGGAACUGUCAGGCUAGAGUGCAGGAGAGGAAGGUAGAAUUCCCGGUGUAGCGGUGAAAUGCGUAGAGAUCGGGAGAAAUACCAGUGGCGAAGGCGGCCUUCUGGACUGACACUGACGCUGAGGUGCGAAAGCGUGGGUAGCAAACAGGAUUAGAUACCCCUGUAGU
This 464-nucleotide ribosomal RNA is filed under the name Vreelandella stevensii. RNAcentral describes it as "partial 16S ribosomal RNA". It matches the Rfam family "Bacterial small subunit ribosomal RNA", at positions 338 to 794 of the family's 1533-position model. Lineage: Bacteria; Pseudomonadati; Pseudomonadota; Gammaproteobacteria; Oceanospirillales; Halomonadaceae. The record is from RNAcentral.